GACGAACGCUGGCGGCGUGCUUAACACAUGCAAGUCGAGCGGGAAGCUUCGGCUUUCAGCGGCGAACGGGUGAGUAACACGUGGGCAACCUGCCCCGAGCUCUGGAAUAACUUCGGGAAACCGGGGCUAAUACCGGAUAUGACACUACCGGACAUCUGGUGGUGUGGAAAGAUUUAUCGGCUCGGGAUGGGCCCGCGGCCUAUCAGCUUGUUGGUGGGGUAACGGCCUACCAAGGCGACGACGGGUAGCCGGCCUGAGAGGGCGAUCGGCCACACUGGGACUGAGACACGGCCCAGACUCCUACGGGAGGCAGCAGUGGGGAAUAUUGCGCAAUGGGCGAAAGCCUGACGCAGCGACGCCGCGUGAGGGACGAAGGCC
This 378-nucleotide ribosomal RNA is filed under the name Frankia sp. Its description in RNAcentral is "bacterial SSU rRNA". It matches the Rfam family "Bacterial small subunit ribosomal RNA", at positions 28 to 416 of the family's 1533-position model. The record is from RNAcentral. Lineage: Bacteria; Bacillati; Actinomycetota; Actinomycetes; Frankiales; Frankiaceae.